Nerophis ophidion (straightnose pipefish) is the source of this 602-nucleotide long non-coding RNA. RefSeq lists it as uncharacterized. Lineage: Eukaryota; Metazoa; Chordata; Actinopteri; Syngnathiformes; Syngnathidae. The record is from RefSeq and is a predicted model, not a curated record. The transcript has 2 exons.
UUUAGGGCAGGGGUGUCAAACUCAUUUAAGAUGGGGGGCCACAUGGAGAAAAAUCUACUCCCAAGUGGGCCGGUGUUGUGCCGAAUUCUGCACCCCCGCCGUAAAAUGCACCCCCUGUCGGGAGCGCGCUUACGUCACUCGGUUGCAUCACCCGUCUCGAAAAGUAGCUAAACUCGGCUAAAAUCGCCUCUUUCGGCAUAAAAAUGUACAUAACAAGGUGAAUAAUCCAAGUUGUCUUUACUUUGGAUAUAUUAAUGGAUGGAUUAAUUGUGAUUCUUUAAUGAUUUCGCCGCCAUUGCCUUUAAUGAUUUCGUCGUCAUUCAAUCGCCUCUUUCGGCAUAAAAAUGUACAUAACAAGGUGAAUAAUCCAAGUUGUCUUUACUUUGGAUAUAUUAAUGGAUGGAUUAAUUGUGAUUCUUCAAUGAUUUCGCCGUCAUUGCCUUUAAUGAUUUCGUCGUCAUUCAGAGACAUCAAGGAGAACGAAUGUUUGCUGCUUCACUCGACGGGAUCCAAUACAUGUAUUUUAAAAAUAUGACAUUUUCUUUAACUGUAAGAAGCUCAUGGGUGGAUGGAUGAAUACAUUAAUAAAUGAAUGCAUCUGA